This 29-nucleotide non-coding RNA is filed under the name Homo sapiens (human). Lineage: Eukaryota; Metazoa; Chordata; Mammalia; Primates; Hominidae. The record is from RNAcentral.
UAGAUUAGUAGUGAGGCGCAUCACCCCAC